AGAACAGAUCGGCUGUGAGCUUGUGGCUGCGAGUGUUGCGAUUGCGAUAGAGAUGGAGUCACGGCGACUUAACGACCUCGGCGCCGACGACUCUCAAGUGUGACUGCUUGUUUCCUCAUUUUUAACCUUCAAUCUUCAACUCUUCAACAGAUAUGGAAGAUAAUGGAAGCACUACUACCAGUGUUAGAUCACUUUGGCGUAUAGUUGCAGUGGUUCAAGUUCAAUAAUGCCCUGUGCUCCUAAAGCUGAUUCGAGAGUCGAGAUUAUUUAUGUUAUUUUGAUUUUUGAGAAUUUGUUAAACUUAUUUAAGCUUAAUGUGUUAGACACUUAGACUUAUGCUAUGGGCCAGUGUUCUUAUCAUUUUAUGUUGAUGUUAAUGUUGUUGCUGCACUGCUUAUUAGUUAAACUUACAACUUUAUGUUUGGCAGAAUGGCUGUAACCAGUAGGUUUGCAAACUUUGCAUAAUAUUAUUGCUACUGUGAGCGUGACACUUUAGUUGUUAUUACUUAUUGGUGUAAACUUGAA
Non-coding RNA from Nicotiana tabacum (common tobacco), 525 nucleotides. NCBI's taxonomy places the organism in Eukaryota, Viridiplantae, Streptophyta, Magnoliopsida, Solanales, Solanaceae. The record is from RefSeq and is a predicted model, not a curated record.